UGGUGGCAAGGUUCCUCUCCAGGAGAGGCUGGGGACGUAGUCUGACCCACUUUUCUGCCGCAGAAGAGGGAGCCCUGGUGCCCCGACCCCAAACCCGGUGUCGUUGGCCUGCCUUGAGGAGAGGGGUGCGGGCGCUGGGGCGGGCAGGGUGCCGGGCGGCCUGGAGCUGGGCUGGCUGCGGCCUGGCCUGGGGCAGCCUCACCCGUGCAGGCAGCAGGGCCAGGGCUGGCGCUGGCCGGGCUGGAGGAGCUCCCAGGUGCCAACAUGGUUGGUAAACGCAGCUGAACUUCUGCAGGGACGCUGUGGUGCAGGGCAGCCUGCCGCGGACACUGCCCACCUCGUCCUCGAGGCUGCAGCUCCUCUCCCUCAGCUGCUGCUGGAUGGGGCCCUGUGCCUUCUCUCGUGCUUUUCUGCGCUUCUGCAGGAAGGCUGUGUGCCGUCCGUCGGGCCAAGCAUCAGAACCCACUGCUGGGAGACCCCCCCUCCACCAGCACGUCAGCUGCUGAGAGCGAUACCGUGCAUUAUCGACGUGCUUCUGAAUUCCGACUUGCCUCUCCUAAUGCAACGUACCUGCAGCCUUGUUCGGAGCAGAUGCAAUUGGGCAGCAGUGCCGUGCUCCUGCUCGCAGCAGAACUGCAGCUUCGCUCCAUGCAGAGGCCGCUGGACUUCUGCCACCAGGCAGACUUCUGAUAGCAAUCCUUCUGGCAGGGCCUCGCGGGGCUGCGGCUCAAGCACGUGGGAAUUAAACUGCCCAGCCAAGGCAUGGAUGCGAUCUCCUGGCAGCGACCUGAGCGGAGCAGCGGGUGACAAGCUCCUCCUGCCACCACCACGGGCACACGACCUCGCCUCGCAGGGGAUUUGUCCUGCUUGCGUGCUCUGCUGGAACAGGCCUUGGGUUUUAAUUCACCUGGCUCACCCACAGAUGAAAACAUACCGUAUUGUGGCAGAUUUGCUGGGUGACCUGAUGCUGCCCAGAGCCAGUACCAACGGCCAAGACAUCCCUCACGAGCUCAGUUCCCUCCUGUGAAAUGGCAUUGCCCUUCAUCUCCGAGACACGGUGAGUUUGUAAUUGUGAGAUGCAGGGAAAUGAGAGCUGCGAC
Molecule: long non-coding RNA, 1100 nt
Filed under: Anser cygnoides (Swan goose)
Lineage: Eukaryota; Metazoa; Chordata; Aves; Anseriformes; Anatidae
Description: lncRNA (ENSACDG00005000777.1)
Source: RNAcentral